GACGAACGCUGGCGGCGUGCUUAACACAUGCAAGUCGAGCGGAAAGGCCCUGCUUUUGUGGGGUGCUCGAGUGGCGAACGGGUGAGUAACACGUGAGUAACCUGCCCUUGACUUUGGGAUAACUUCAGGAAACUGGGGCUAAUACCGGAUAGGAGCUCCUGCUGCAUGGUGGGGGUUGGAAAGUUUCGGCGGUUGGGGAUGGACUCGCGGCUUAUCAGCUUGUUGGUGGGGUAGUGGCUUACCAAGGCUUUGACGGGUAGCCGGCCUGAGAGGGUGACCGGCUACAUUGGGACUGAGAUACGGCCCAGACUCCUACGGGAGGCAGCAGUGGGGAAUAUUGCACAAUGGGCGGAAGCCUGAUGCAGCAACGCCGCGUGCGGGAUGACGGCCUUCGGGUUGUAAACCGCUUUCGCCUGUGACGAAGCGUGAGUGACGGUAAUGGGUAAAGAAGCACCGGCUAACUACGUG
Molecule: ribosomal RNA, 468 nt
Filed under: uncultured bacterium
Lineage: Bacteria
Description: partial 16S ribosomal RNA
Rfam family: Bacterial small subunit ribosomal RNA
Source: RNAcentral